AUUGAACGCUGGCGGCAGGCCUAACACAUGCAAGUCGAGCGGAUGAAGGGAGCUUGCUCCUGGAUUCAGCGUCGGACGGGUGAGUAAUGCCUAGGAAUCUGCCUGGUAGUGGGGGAUAACGUCCUGAAACGGGCGCUAAUACCGCAUACGUCCUGAGCGUGAAAGUGGGGGAUCUUCGGACCUCACGCUAUCAUAUGAGCCUAGGUCGGAUUAGCUAGUUGGUGGGGUAAAGGCCUACUAAGUCGACGAUCCGUAACUGGUCUGAGAGGAUGAUCAGUCACACUGGAGCUGAGACACGGUCCAGACUCCUACGGGAGGCAGCAGUGGGGAAUAUUGGACAAUGGGCGAAAGCCUGAUCCAGCCAUGCCGCGUGUGUGAAGAAGGUCUUCGGAUUGUAAAGCACUUUAAGUUGGGAGGAAGGGCAGUAAGUUAAUACCUUGCUGUUUUGACGUUACCAACAGAAUAAGCACCGGCUAACUUCGUG
RNAcentral lists this ribosomal RNA (484 nucleotides) under uncultured bacterium. RNAcentral describes it as "partial 16S ribosomal RNA". It matches the Rfam family "Bacterial small subunit ribosomal RNA", at positions 30 to 507 of the family's 1533-position model. The record is from RNAcentral.